RNAcentral lists this ribosomal RNA (301 nucleotides) under uncultured bacterium. RNAcentral's name for it is "partial 16S ribosomal RNA". It matches the Rfam family "Bacterial small subunit ribosomal RNA", at positions 509 to 807 of the family's 1533-position model. The record is from RNAcentral.
CAGUCGCCGCGGUAAUACGAAGGGGGCUAGCGUUGCUCGGAAUGACUGGGCGUAAAGGGCGCGUAGGCGGAUUGUUUAGUUAGGCGUGAAAUUCCUGGGCUUAACCUGGGGACUGCGCUUAAUACAGGCAGUCUAGAGUGAGGAAGAGGGUUGUGGAAUUCCCAGUGUAGAGGUGAAAUUCGUAGAUAUUGGGAAGAACACCGGUGGCGAAGGCGGCAACCUGGUCCUUGACUGACGCUGAGGCGCGAAAGCGUGGGGAGCAAACAGGAUUAGAUACCCCGGUAGUCCCUGUCUCUUAUAC